This 662-nucleotide long non-coding RNA is filed under the name Vigna radiata. Its description in RNAcentral is "long non-coding RNA (VRAD_LNC000068)". Lineage: Eukaryota; Viridiplantae; Streptophyta; Magnoliopsida; Fabales; Fabaceae. The record is from RNAcentral.
GUGACGCCCGGGCACUGAGAGGGCGGGGAGUGAUCGCCGGUGCAAGAGGCACGGACAAGGAGCGGCUCCUGGCAGGCUUCUAGUGGAAGGGGUACAUGGACGAAUNGAACAUACACCGGAAUGAGAGGGAUCUGGANACUGUAUAGGUAUGGGACUAUACAGUUGAAGGAUAGCUUAAAGGAAUUGAUUUGGCUACCCAUAUCACCAAAAUGCAUUUACUUUUCAGUAGCCUAACCCAUAAGAACUCCAUGGUUAAGCGUGCUUAGCCUGGAGUAAUUCUGGGAUGGGUGACCUUCCGGGAAGUUUUCCCGGAAAGUGUGCGAGUGAGGACAAAGCGGGAUGGGUGGCACACUGGAAAGUCUCGUGGUGAUGUGUGGGGGCAGUCAACAGUCCCUGUAAGUUGUCGGGGCGUUACAGAUGGUAUCAGAGCCUAGCCUCUCCCAGUACGGUGUGGUUCGAGGACGAACCAAGCGGAAGCUGGUGGGCAUGUGACGCCCGGGCACUGAGAGGGCGGGGAGUGAUCGCCGGUGCAAGAGGCACGGACAAGGAGCCACUAAUCUGGCCUUGUACCUCACUACAACACCUUAUGGAUUUAUUUUUGACUUAUAAAUCCAUUUCAGUGCUAUAGGUCUCUUGUUUGGAGGCAAUUUUGUCAGUUCCCA